AGGUAAAAUGGAUGGAACAUCAGACAGCUCAUUAUAGAGACAAGUAAGCUCCAGUUCCAAAGUUGGUUGACAGAACAAGUCAUGACCUUGUGUGGAGGAAAAUGAGAUCCCGAGUGAAGUCUACAAUGUCAUUGACUCUGAAGAAGGACUCAGAGACCCAUUGGUGUUUAAUGACCCUUACUGGCCUAUGCAAUGGAAACUGGUAUGAUCUUCAGAAAUAGAUGGUUCUUUGGCAGUGUUAAGAAAUAUUAUUUUUGUCAUGUUCUAAUGCAGUAGAUAGGCACUUUUAUGCACUGCCUGCUUUUAUCUAUUGGUUUUGCAGAGAGAGACUUAGCAAACUUUUGAUGAAAUAUUACUGCCAUCUUAUUAAUGAACACUAAUCCUUUUAAUUUGAUUACAUCCUUAGGGUUUGAUUUAAUCUAUAAAAGACACCAGUAAAAACCCCAAGAUAUUUAAAUUUGGUGUGUGUAAACAGACUCAUUACAUAGAAAUGUUGUUGCC
Molecule: long non-coding RNA, 501 nt
Filed under: Homo sapiens (human)
Lineage: Eukaryota; Metazoa; Chordata; Mammalia; Primates; Hominidae
Description: non-protein coding lnc-KLHL32-4:22
Source: RNAcentral